Molecule: ribosomal RNA, 2929 nt
Filed under: Salmonella enterica subsp. enterica serovar Enteritidis
Lineage: Bacteria; Pseudomonadati; Pseudomonadota; Gammaproteobacteria; Enterobacterales; Enterobacteriaceae
Description: bacterial LSU rRNA
Rfam family: Bacterial large subunit ribosomal RNA
Source: RNAcentral
GGGUUGUGAGGUUAAGCGACUAAGCGUACACGGUGGAUGCCCUGGCAGUCAGAGGCGAUGAAGGGCGUGCUAAUCUGCGAUAAGCGCCGGUAAGGUGAUAUGAACCGUUAUAACCGGCGAUACCCGAAUGGGGAAACCCAGUGUGACUCGUCACACUAUCAUUAACUGAAUCCAUAGGUUAAUGAGGCGAACCGGGGGAACUGAAACAUCUAAGUACCCCGAGGAAAAGAAAUCAACCGAGAUUCCCCCAGUAGCGGCGAGCGAACGGGGAGGAGCCCAGAGCCUGAAUCAGCAUGUGUGUUAGUGGAAGCGUCUGGAAAGGCGCGCGAUACAGGGUGACAGCCCCGUACACAAAAGCGCAUGUGCUGUGAGCUCGAUGAGUAGGGCGGGACACGUGGUAUCCUGUCUGAAUAUGGGGGGACCAUCCUCCAAGGCUAAAUACUCCUGACUGACCGAUAGUGAACCAGUACCGUGAGGGAAAGGCGAAAAGAACCCCGGCGAGGGGAGUGAAAAAGAACCUGAAACCGUGUACGUACAAGCAGUGGGAGCACAGGUUUACCUGUGUGACUGCGUACCUUUUGUAUAAUGGGUCAGCGACUUAUAUUCUGUAGCAAGGUUAACCGAAUAGGGGAGCCGGAGGGAAACCGAGUCUUAAUUGGGCGUUAAGUUGCAGGGUAUAGACCCGAAACCCGGUGAUCUAGCCAUGGGCAGGUUGAAGGUUGGGUAACACUAACUGGAGGACCGAACCGACUAAUGUUGAAAAAUUAGCGGAUGACCUGUGGCUGGGGGUGAAAGGCCAAUCAAACCGGGAGAUAGCUGGUUCUCCCCGAAAGCUAUUUAGGUAGCGCCUCGUGAAUUCAUCUCCGGGGGUAGAGCACUGUUUCGGCUAGGGGGCCAUCCCGGCUUACCAACCCGAUGCAAACUGCGAAUACCGGAGAAUGUUAUCACGGGAGACACACGGCGGGUGCUAACGUCCGUCGUGAAGAGGGAAACAACCCAGACCGCCAGCUAAGGUCCCAAAGUCAUGGUUAAGUGGGAAACGAUGUGGGAAGGCCCAGACAGCCAGGAUGUUGGCUUAGAAGCAGCCAUCAUUUAAAGAAAGCGUAAUAGCUCACUGGUCGAGUCGGCCUGCGCGGAAGAUGUAACGGGGCUAAACCAUGCACCGAAGCUGCGGCAGCGACGCUUAUGCGUUGUUGGGUAGGGGAGCGUUCUGUAAGCCUGCGAAGGUGGCCUGUGAGGGUUGCUGGAGGUAUCAGAAGUGCGAAUGCUGACAUAAGUAACGAUAAAGCGGGUGAAAAGCCCGCUCGCCGGAAGACCAAGGGUUCCUGUCCAACGUUAAUCGGGGCAGGGUGAGUCGACCCCUAAGGCGAGGCCGAAAGGCGUAGUCGAUGGGAAACGGGUUAAUAUUCCCGUACUUGGUGUUACUGCGAAGGGGGGACGGAGAAGGCUAUGUUGGCCGGGCGACGGUUGUCCCGGUUUAAGCGUGUAGGUGUGUGUUCCAGGUAAAUCCGGUUCACUUUAACACUGAGGCGUGACGACGAGGCACUACGGUGCUGAAGCAACAAAUGCCCUGCUUCCAGGAAAAGCCUCUAAGCAUCAGGUAACAUCAAAUCGUACCCCAAACCGACACAGGUGGUCAGGUAGAGAAUACCAAGGCGCUUGAGAGAACUCGGGUGAAGGAACUAGGCAAAAUGGUGCCGUAACUUCGGGAGAAGGCACGCUGACACGUAGGUGAAGUGAUUUACUCAUGGAGCUGAAGUCAGUCGAAGAUACCAGCUGGCUGCAACUGUUUAUUAAAAACACAGCACUGUGCAAACACGAAAGUGGACGUAUACGGUGUGACGCCUGCCCGGUGCCGGAAGGUUAAUUGAUGGGGUCAGCGCAAGCGAAGCUCCUGAUCGAAGCCCCGGUAAACGGCGGCCGUAACUAUAACGGUCCUAAGGUAGCGAAAUUCCUUGUCGGGUAAGUUCCGACCUGCACGAAUGGCGUAAUGAUGGCCAGGCUGUCUCCACCCGAGACUCAGUGAAAUUGAACUCGCUGUGAAGAUGCAGUGUACCCGCGGCAAGACGGAAAGACCCCGUGAACCUUUACUAUAGCUUGACACUGAACAUUGAGCCUUGAUGUGUAGGAUAGGUGGGAGGCUUUGAAGUGUGGACGCCAGUCUGCAUGGAGCCGACCUUGAAAUACCACCCUUUAAUGUUUGAUGUUCUAACGUGGACCCGUUACCCGGGUUGCGGACAGUGUCUGGUGGGUAGUUUGACUGGGGCGGUCUCCUCCUAAAGAGUAACGGAGGAGCACGAAGGUUGGCUAAUCCUGGUCGGACAUCAGGAGGUUAGUGCAAUGGCAUAAGCCAGCUUGACUGCGAGCGUGACGGCGCGAGCAGGUGCGAAAGCAGGUCAUAGUGAUCCGGUGGUUCUGAAUGGAAGGGCCAUCGCUCAACGGAUAAAAGGUACUCCGGGGAUAACAGGCUGAUACCGCCCAAGAGUUCAUAUCGACGGCGGUGUUUGGCACCUCGAUGUCGGCUCAUCACAUCCUGGGGCUGAAGUAGGUCCCAAGGGUAUGGCUGUUCGCCAUUUAAAGUGGUACGCGAGCUGGGUUUAGAACGUCGUGAGACAGUUCGGUCCCUAUCUGCCGUGGGCGCUGGAGAACUGAGGGGGGCUGCUCCUAGUACGAGAGGACCGGAGUGGACGCAUCACUGGUGUUCGGGUUGUCAUGCCAAUGGCACUGCCCGGUAGCUAAAUGCGGAAGAGAUAAGUGCUGAAAGCAUCUAAGCACGAAACUUGCCCCGAGAUGAGUUCUCCCUGAGACUUAAAGUCUCCUGAAGGAACGUUGAAGACGACGACGUUGAUAGGCCGGGUGUGUAAGCGCAGCGAUGCGUUGAGCUAACCGGUACUAAUGAACCGUGAGGCUUAACCUUACAACGCCGAAG